GCUCCAUACUCUUCAAAAUGAUUACAUGACUGGCAGUUGAUGGUGGAAAAUAACCCCAAUUUGUAACUUGCAUUUCUCCAGGGUUUGAGAAACUGAUGACUGGUCCUCCAAAAAUAGCUCAUAGGUAUUUCAACUUGUCAUAAGUUGCCAAGUGGGGACUCUUGAUAAUGAUCAUCUGCCAACCAGAGGCCAAAAUCACGUAACCGCUUUACCUUCUUCUCAAAACCUGUGAUGUAAUUGUUGUGAAUGAUAACAUGCUUUCCCUUGGUUUCUUGUACCCAUGUCUGGUUCUUGAAGUACAAUCCUCCUGUUGGGAAUGCUGCCUGUGGCAGCAGGUAUAGAUCCACCUGCCCAGCAGUUUUGUUCAAUGCCCAGUUAAAAGCAGGCUGAUCAUUUGAUUUCUUUGCUUUAGACCAAGGCUGAGCUUGAAGUUCCUCAAUCCACUU
RNAcentral lists this unclassified non-coding RNA (446 nucleotides) under Hevea brasiliensis (rubber tree). The record is from RNAcentral. Lineage: Eukaryota; Viridiplantae; Streptophyta; Magnoliopsida; Malpighiales; Euphorbiaceae.